AUCUCUAUCUAAAGUCUAAAUUAGGACUAGUACCAUUAACACGGUGAUGGUUACGACCAUCUAACAAAUCUGGUUAAUAGCCAGUUUCUUCAAUUCCAUAGGUACGUAGCAGACCAUUGAAUCUUUUAUUGUAGGUAUUUAAGGAUGUUGUAUUGUGGAUGAAUUGUGUCAUGUGUUGGAAUGUGUUGAUGUUCGUUGCAUUUAGUCAUUUAUUACUCUAUGUUAAUAGAUGAACAAAGAGAACAAAGAUUACAUGUAGUAAUAGUAUUACUAUAUAGUAUGCAGGUUAAAUAUCUUUUGUUUUCUUUAUGCACAGUGUAGGUACAUGGAGGUGUUGCUAAGAAUUUAAAGUGCUUUUGGCCGCUAGGAAACAAGUGGAUCCUAAUGUUAAAGUACAUGUUAAAUCGCUUGAAGAUGCAGAUUUAGAUGAUGUUGUUAACAGUGCAAAUCGCAUGCUACAAACUGCAUUGUCAUUACUGGGGAGGGAAUGACUAAUGGAGGUAUAAUAUUCUUUUUACUAUUUUAAACAGGAUAAUGAAAAAGAAAUGUAAAUAGUUAUGCAGACCAUGUUAACUGUAUCUUUGGUUGAGUGUACAAGGAAAUGAAUGAGAUAGUAAAUGGGAAAUGCUUAUGGAGUUUAUGGUUAUUUGCAGGCAAUGGAAUUAAAUGCUAUUGGAGAUAUGGGCGAACAAGAUCUGGCAGGUUAUAUGGCAGACAACAGCUUAUUUACUAUGUGAUACAGUCACGAACUGGGAGGGAUAUUGUUUGUACGAGUCAUUAUUUGUAAACAAAGGAAAUGUCUUCUGGUGGGGGUUGACUUGAAGGUGCAUAUUAUAAUAUGCAUGAUGAUCAGAAGAACUCGAUCUGUAAUUUUUUUAUUAAUUUUUUUUUUUUGGAUUAUUAAUAUAUCAUGC
Molecule: long non-coding RNA, 914 nt
Filed under: Aquilegia coerulea
Lineage: Eukaryota; Viridiplantae; Streptophyta; Magnoliopsida; Ranunculales; Ranunculaceae
Description: long non-coding RNA (ACOE_LNC002310)
Source: RNAcentral